Molecule: long non-coding RNA, 4421 nt
Organism: Drosophila nasuta
Lineage: Eukaryota; Metazoa; Arthropoda; Insecta; Diptera; Drosophilidae
Exons: 3
Source: RefSeq, a predicted model, not a curated record
UAUAGAGCUAUAAUUUUUUCGACAUUUGUUAUGUUUGCACGCAGAUCAAGUUUGUUUCAAAUUUUUUCCACACCCACUUCCGCCCCUGCUAACCAACAAAAAUCGAAUAACAAGCGUAAUUUUAAAGCUAGAGCUGCGAAUUUGUGACUCCUGAAAAUUUGGUUGCGAUCAGAUAAAAAUUGUGUGUUAUUAAAGAAAUACUUUUGUUCCUCGUUGUUUUGGCUGACAAUCUGGUAUACUGUGCCGUCUAUGACAUAUUUUGAAAGUGGUAAUAGUACCAAAUAUACAAUUUGGUAUACUUUUAGUAUUUUCGGUAUAUUUUGAGAAAAAUAGCGUAAUAUUUUGCUAUUAUUAAAAAUGGGUAGCGGGUAUCUCACAGUUGAGCACACUCGACUGUAACCUUCUUACUUGCUUUUAUCUUACACGAUGAGUGAGAGGAAUACAUAAACGUUUCUCUUCACAUGUUCAGCACUAUCUCUUUUGCUGCUUCAUUCGAUUCUAUUGCUGCUCCCUCUGACCACUUUCUGUUGUUGACGUUUAUGGUUAGGUGCAACUUAAUGGCUAAAUGCGCAGUGCUCGGACUCAUAUUCGAAUUCGAACUCUGAGAAUGGCCUUGGCUCUGGAAUUCGAAACGAAUGAAUGGUUACUCUGGAUUUGCUGGGGCAUUGGGGGUGUUUGUAUUUUGAACAAGCAAGUUGGUUGGCUGAGCGAAUUCACAGACCUACACUCUUUCCACCCUUAUCGCGCUAAAGUGUUUAACAAUUUAAAAAGAAAUGUAGAACGCUGUAACAGAGAGCGCACGACUACGCGUACCUUCUGUAGAUAUGCAGUAACCACCAGAACUUACUAGUUUCCGAUCUAACUACUUUCGAAGACAUGUGGCCAGGGAGCUUAGAUAAAUCAAGAAAAUUAAAAUGCACAGAGAAAAAUGGAAAAAUUAGGAAAUUUUUUAAUCUGACAAUUGUGAAGAAUAAAUAUUUGGAUAUAAAAAGGAAAUAAUGUCACAAUCAAGUGUUGUCAAUCAAUCCAUAAUUAAAUAGACUGGGAAGUACCCCUCUCUAGAUUACCAUUAUGGUAUAAAAUAUAACACUACCAAAAUCUGUUACAAUGAGUGCAAUUAAAAUUUCGAAAUAAGUUUUCACUGUAAUAAUAAGAAGACAAGAAGGAAUCAUAGUUUUGAAGUUUUUUUUUAUAUUUGAGCUGCAAAACCGUGGUGUUGUGGUCAGUAGCAGUCCCGGUAUCAUCAUCAACAGUUCUCCCAGCUCCAUUGGCAGAAAUGCGUCGUGUCACUUAGUAAUUUCUGAAAGUAAAGAAUAUAAAGCGUAGUUUUUUCCAACACAACUGUACCUCAUUCACCAUCACCGUUUGCGAUUCUGGUAUGCCCAUCUCAGUCCACACUUUUUGUACAGUUAAACUCUCCUCCCACACCCCUUACUAGGAAUAUCACCAUCGUCUUCUUUGACUCCUUCGCCAUCGCCAUAUCUAUCGCCAUUGGCAUUGCUAUUGCCAUCGCGAGCCAUCGGUAUUGCCCAUUCUCCACUCUGGUCCCCAGCCUUGCACCCUUUCAGCAGCCGCUCGGGUGAUUUAAAAAUUUAAUACCUCGCGGCUAUUAAUGGUGGAAAAUGCUUGCGUAAUAAAACAAAACGCAACAACGCGGACUGGGAGAAAUGGGAAUGAUGGAAUAGGAAUGGGAGUGGGAGUGGGAAUGGGAAUGGAAGUGAAAAUGGCCUGGUAUGGCGUUGGAUUGUUAUAUUGGUGGUGGUCGGUAUGCGCAGGACGCCUGCCCACAUCUUUUCAAAAACUGGAACAGGACAACACAGGACAUGAAGGACAAGGCGACAAAGGAGAAGCGAGAAAAAUCAAAAGAAAUAAAUAUGGCGCGUGUUUUGCCAAAAGAAGAAAUUUUAAUUUAAAAUAUUGAUGAUGACGACAACAAAAGCAACAUCGAAAUCGCCAACUCUGUUGGGAUUGCCUUUCUUAGAAGGGCAACCUCUGCUUCACUUAGAGUGUUGGCGUUUGAAGGAAACAAAAAAAGAAAAGAACAUUUUUUUCUCGUGAUGUAUCUUAAGUUUUAAUGUUGGCCCUAUGGCACCUCUCAUUCUCCGUGUCGUUUCGAUUCCGAAAUGGUAUGGAGUCGACUCAGAAGAACAUACGUACAUAGUGUAAAAGCGUCUCGGACGUUGUCCUAACAACUAGAUGAUGGGACGAUUUGCAAGUAUUCGAAGCAAGUGUUCGAGUCUUGAAUUGACUUUUAUAUUUACUCGUAAAGCUUAGUUUCAAUUGUAACUUCUUAUAAACUCUUUCCGAUAAAGAAAUACAAAGCUACGAAUUCUAUACAUUUAUGUUAACAUAAAUUCAAAAUAAAUUUGUAUACUCUGAAAUAGUCAUAGAAAAAUUGUCAGUAAAUUUAGACAAAAUAAAUUCGAAUAUUUAAAUAAUUAACUAAUAUUUUCAAGAGAAAAUUAUUUGAUGGACAUUAAGUUCGAGUAAGAAGAUCCUGUUAAACUUUAAUAUAAACAAGUAAAAAGGCUGCCAUCGGCUACCGUUUUUUAUAAUAGCAAACAGGCGUGGUAUUAGCAGAAAAAUAUACCGAAUUAAUAAAUUAAAAAAUUCUGAAAUAUAUCAAAACAAUUCAAAAUAUACGAGAGUGUUUAAUAACUUCUAAGUUUUUUUAUUUGAUUGUAAUCAAUUCAUAAAGACGUUAGUCAAUAUCGACUCUACUCUGCAAAUUAUACUUGCAAUUCGUUUUUGUGAACAAAUCAUAAACAAAUUGAAUUUCGUUCACCAAUAAAAUGAGCUGUUAAAAAAUUUUCAACUGUAUCACUUAUAACUUUGUACCUACACGAAAUGUAUAAUAUAACAUUACAAUAUAGUAUAAUAUAUAAAAUGUUAUUAUAAUUAGCAAGUUAAAAAAGGUGCAGUUGAGUGGGGACGACUGUGAGAUACCCUCUACCCAUUUUCAAUAAAAUCAAACUCUAAAAUAUACCUAAUUGAUUUAUUAAAAACACUAUCUACGACUACUAAAUAUACCUAAGAUUAUAUUUGGUAUAUCAAUACAUUCAAACAUUAAAAAAAUACUAUAUAGUACAAAAUAUACCACAUUGUCUACCAAAGCAAUUAAGACCCGAUAACAGCAGGCGUCUUAUUCUUAUACAAUUUUCCAAUUAUCUCUAUCUUUUAUAGUCUGUGGUAUCUACGUAUUUAUACAAACAGACGGACAUUGUUACAUAUACUCCUUAUCUUUAUGGUAUUAAAUUACGAAUUAAUAAUAAUUAAGGUAAAAAGCGAAAUUCUUAUUACUCUAACUUUGGAGUAGUGCAGAGAGUAUCAAAACUAUAAAAUCAAAAGCGGCUUAUACAUUGGUCGAGGUGUGUAUUCAAAGAAUCGUAAGUUGCGUAUAAUUAAAUAUACAGUAAAUACCAUGCCAUUAAAAAUAUUCAAAAUUGUUACCGGAAGCAUUAAAAGCCCCAAAAGUCUAGCUUUAAAGUUGUGGUAGAGAUCCUAAUAAAAAUAAACCUUUGAAAUAAAAGAUUAUUAAACCGCUUAGAUAAGUAUGUUAAAUAAGCUUGCCUUUCAUAAUUUGAAGCUAUUCUUUCUCCCACUUGGUUAUUGCUAGAAAAGUUUAUAACUUAUUUAGAAAAUUUUAUAUGAAAACAAUUUAGCUUUAGGUUUGGGAAAAGAGUUGAAUACAUUUAAUUUGCAUUCAAGUUAUAACAGUGGAAGAAAAAUAGUAACUUAUAGCCUAGGUCAAGAGAGUUCUUAAAUUUUAAAUAGAACUGGACGUUUUUCUUAUUCGCUGAAAAUAGUUGUAAGAUCAACAGAUCAAUGAAAUCGUUGAAAUAUCAUAACUCUCAAUAAACUAAUAAUAUCCAAGGACGAAGCAUAUUUUAUCGUCAUUACUCAUUAUCUGAUGGGAGGUGUAUGCUUAAUAGCAACAAUGGCUGUCGGCAAUUGCUCGCUUCAAAUUGUCAGUGAGGGGAAAAAGAGAAAAUUGCCUUAACCAGCAGCCAAUGAAAACAAUGAAUAUGAAUUGUAGAAAUUUCCUAAGAGUAUUUCUGAAUAACAAGAGAGAAUUUACUUUAUAAAUCGAGAGAGACAAAAAAUCCCAUCAAUUCAGUUUACAAUCAUUUUAAAUAGAGGGCGCUUUGUUUGCAGAACAUUUAUAAUUGAUGGCGCCAUCUAGCAAUAAACAUUGGAAACUACCUAACAUUUUUGGUUUGCUUUAAUUUUAGGCCGUUUUAUUUACUUUCAAGCGUCCACUGUCUUUAGUUUAGAGUUUUAUCCUUUAUCCAAUUAGUUGUCUGCUACCAUUUCACAUGACAGUUAUAAUACAUACAUAUCUAUUCAUCAAUAGUUAUACAAAGUCACUAAAAUUUGAGCUAGAAAGCAUUUUAAUAUUUUUAUAUUGUUCUUAUUUCCUU